Molecule: ribosomal RNA, 482 nt
Filed under: Blastocystis sp.
Lineage: Eukaryota; Bigyra; Opalinata; Blastocystidae
Description: SSU rRNA
Rfam family: Eukaryotic small subunit ribosomal RNA
Source: RNAcentral
GGAGGUAGUGACAAUAAAUCACAAUGCGGAACAAUGUUUUGCAAUUGGAUUGAGAACAACGUACAAACCUUAUCGAUAAACAAUUGGAGGGCAAGUCUGGUGCCAGCAGCCGCGGUAAUUCCAGCUCCAAUAGCGUAUAUUAACGUUGUUGCAGUUAAAAAGCUCGUAGUUGAAAUGAAGGGUAGUUGUGUAAUGAAUACAUUCGUGUAUUUUGUUAUUCUACUACCCUCCUUCUAAAUUCGAUAUAUGAGUAUUAAUUUACUUGUAUAUGGUUUUAGACAUUUACUGUGAGAAAAUUAGAGUGUUCAAAGCAGGCAUUUGCUUGAAUAUAUUAGCAUGGAAUAAUCAUGUAUGAUUUUCAUGAUGUAUUUGAUUGGUUUGGUUCAUGAGAAUAAGAUUAAAAGGGACAGUUGGGGGUAUUCAUAUUCAAUAGUCAGAGGUGAAAUUCUCGGAUUUAUGGAAGAUGAACAAGUGCGAAAGCA